GCUGGAUUUCAUUCACCUGUCCCUGCCAAUGUGCUCAGAUUUGCUUGAUAGGCUGCACUGAAUUUCUCAACCACAUCAGUAUAGAUUCCCUGUCUCUGAGGGAGUGACAAGCGCUCCUAUGGCUGAGUUGCUAUGAUCAAUGGCUUGGCUUGAUUUCCAUUGUUUGAUGGUGAUCAUACUUCUUUUGCCGGAAGAGAGGUAUUCAGAGAACCCGAUUUCCUGCUUGGUAGGCGGCAUGAGCUGAGGGCAAGUGCAUUGAAAAUGUAAUGCAUGGCUGCUUGAGAAGACUGCGGACCUGCGCUUGAAGAUUCAAGAUGAAUUGAUGUAGAGGAGCCAUCUGCUUCUCUGGGAUUAUCUGGUUCACCUCAUUUUGCGCAUCAGCUGUGACAGCCGAGAGGCAUGGUUGAUGCAAAGCUCAGGGGAUAGAAGAGAGCUGCUAAUGCCCAUGUUGGAGAGCAGUGGAACUCUAUUAGUCCUCCGCUUGUGCCAAGCAAUGGCAAAGUUGAGGCCUCCGCUUGUGCCAAGCAAUGAGAAAGUUGAGGCUGAAAUGACAGACCUGGGAACUAACCAGAGUAUUAGAGAGCAACUGAAGAUUGGACAUAAGGCUAACUUCAAGUACACCCAGUCCCCAACUGCAAAAGCUCUGAAGCUGCAUUUUUUUAUCAGCCUGAACUAAAUCAGAUGGACAGACUGAGAGGGUAAAUCAGUGUCUAGAAACUUAUUUGUGUUGUUUUACGCAAUCUUGUCCAUCCAAAUGGGCCACUAGGUUGUAUUUGGCAGAAUAUUGGUACAAUACCGGUUAUCAUUCCACUUUGGGCAAAACUACUUUUGAUGUGCUCUAUGGACACACCCCACUACAGCUAGGUAUUGGUGUGGAUUCUUGUGAGAUACCUGAUCUUCAGCAGUGGUUUUCAAAUGAUGAUGUGCAUAGAGCUCAGCAGCUGUUACACUAACAUUUGCAUAGAGCUCAGCAGUAUAUAAAGGGGGUGAUAAGCUGUGCUCAAAUGUAGUUUAGUGCCCACCUUUUGCCUUUUGGAACAACUGUUCCCAGAAAUGACUGGUAAAUAUCUUGUCUCUAUCAGAAAUGAUGGCCAGGGGUAAUCCAUACAAUUUAAAAACACCUUCCAUAUACAGCUGGGCAACAUCUUGAGCAGAGAAAGGAUGAGCCAAGGCUAAAAUGUGAGCAUACCUAGACAACUUGUGCACUACCACCAUGAUGCAAUUAAAUCGUCUGGAUGUUGGAAGCCCUUUUAUGAAAUCUAUGGUCACUGUUUGACAAGCCCCUGAUGCCACAAGUAAAGGCUGAAACAGUCCAGGAUAUUUAUAUCAGUCAGGUUUAGCUUGCUGACAAAUGGAGUAGUUCUUAACCUGCUGUUUGAUAAAUCCCUUCAUUCCAGGCCAACCAAACAAUGCUUUCAUUCUUCUAUAUGUCACAGGAAGCAAAGAAAAUAACCCUGAGCAACCUCUUCCAACCAAGUGUCAAUGGUGUCUCCAUGAUCACACCUGGACAAAGCAUCCGCAAACCAUUAUGGAUCCUUUUUUUUAACAAAAUUUUAAUUUUAAACCCAACAACUUGGUGUAAGCUUUCUACUACCAACUAGUAUGUAAACGUUGGUCCGUAAGGUUCAUCAAACUUUUGUGAUCAGUAAGGAUAGUAAACUCUGCAUAUUGAAGAUAAUA
This is an RNA transcript of Oryza sativa Japonica Group (Japanese rice), 1680 nucleotides long. RefSeq lists it as uncharacterized. The record is from RefSeq and is a predicted model, not a curated record. Lineage: Eukaryota; Viridiplantae; Streptophyta; Magnoliopsida; Poales; Poaceae.